UGCAUAUCCAAUAGCGGAGGAAAAGAAACCAACAGGGAUUGCCUUAGUAGCGGCGAGUGAAGCGGCAAAAGCUCAAAUUUGAAAUCUGGCACUUUCAGUGUCCGAGUUGUAAUUUGAAGAAGGUAUCUUUGGGUCUGGCUCUUGUCUAUGUUUCUUGGAACAGAACGUCACAGAGGGUGAGAAUCCCGUGCGAUGAGAUGUCCCAGACCUAUGUAAAGUUCCUUCGAAGAGUCGAGUUGUUUGGGAAUGCAGCUCUAAGUGGGUGGUAAAUUCCAUCUAAAGCUAAAUAUUGGCGAGAGACCGAUAGCGAACAAGUACAGUGAUGGAAAGAUGAAAAGAACUUUGAAAAGAGAGUGAAAAAGUACGUGAAAUUGUUGAAAGGGAAGGGCUUGAGAUCAGACUUGGUAUUUUGUAUGUUACUCUCUCGGGGGUGGCCUCUACAGUUUACCGGGCCAGCAUCAGUUUGAGCGGUAGGAUAAGUGCAAAGAAAUGUGGCACUGCUUCGGUAGUGUGUUAUAGUCUUUGUCGAUACUGCCAGCUUAGACUGAGGACUGCGGCUUCGGCCUAGGAUGUUGGCAUAAUGAUCUUAAGUCGCCCGUCUUG
This 603-nucleotide ribosomal RNA is filed under the name Lodderomyces parapsilosis. RNAcentral's name for it is "LSU rRNA". It matches the Rfam family "Eukaryotic large subunit ribosomal RNA", at positions 37 to 656 of the family's 3401-position model. The record is from RNAcentral. Lineage: Eukaryota; Fungi; Ascomycota; Pichiomycetes; Serinales; Debaryomycetaceae.